ACGGCUAGUAGGAAGGGCGCAGGUGCACACCCACUUCUGCAAAUGAGAUCUGCCUCCCUCCCUCCCGCUGGAAAACCUGCGAGAAGCCGUCCCUCUCUUUCUAUUGCUCAGGACUUGCAGGGAAGAGAAGAAAGAGGAUGAGAGAGUGAAAGAAUGAAGGAGAAAAGAAGAAGAAAAGAGCAGCGAGUUUAACCUCGUUCUUACUGGAGAAAACUUAAAAAAUUUGGAGCAUCCUACCAACACUCCCUGCCUUCAGCUUACUGAUGAGGAAGGAAGGAUGGAAGAGGAACUCUGCACUCCCAUCUUUUCAUUUCCUUCCUUGCUGGCAUUUUCAGCUUAAAUGAAUGAAACACAGGAAGUAGAAUGGAGGCUGCAGGUCAUCCAAGUGGCCCAGGACAGAGGUGUUUGCCAGGCUCUUGUUGAAGACUGGGCUGGCUGUGCUCCCCAGGCCUGCCUUUUAUCUGCAACCAUACAUCCACCAUCCCUUUCCUGAGCACCUGCUACAUACCUGGAAAAUGACACAGUUGCAUGACUCUGGACCAGUGCCUGUGACCUCUUCUGCAGAAGAGUAAGAGCUGCACCAGCCUCAAACAUCAGAGGCCAUGAAGGACCUUCUGCUAGAUGCUGACACCAGGCUGGACACACAGCAAGUUCCACAUAAAUGUCUUCAGCAAUGGUGAAAUAACAAAAGAGUUUUCACUACAAUGCUGUCACCUCCAUGUUGUUUAGAAAUAUCAGCCUUUGAUGCAAUGGGAAAAGAGAAGGAAAUAUGUGAC
This is a long non-coding RNA of Nycticebus coucang (slow loris), 776 nucleotides long. RefSeq lists it as uncharacterized. NCBI's taxonomy places the organism in Eukaryota, Metazoa, Chordata, Mammalia, Primates, Lorisidae. The record is from RefSeq and is a predicted model, not a curated record. The transcript has 6 exons.